Molecule: transfer RNA, 65 nt
Filed under: Xerotyphlops vermicularis (Eurasian blind snake)
Lineage: Eukaryota; Metazoa; Chordata; Lepidosauria; Squamata; Typhlopidae
Description: tRNA-Tyr
Source: RNAcentral
GGUAGAGUGGCUGAAAUAGCGGUAGAUUGUAGUCCUACGCAUGGAAGAUGAGCUUCCCUUUAUCA